Molecule: ribosomal RNA, 463 nt
Filed under: Rabdophaga marginemtorquens
Lineage: Eukaryota; Metazoa; Arthropoda; Insecta; Diptera; Cecidomyiidae
Description: partial large subunit ribosomal RNA
Rfam family: Eukaryotic large subunit ribosomal RNA
Source: RNAcentral
CGAAACCGAUAGCGAACAAGUACCGUGAGGGAAAGUUGAAAAGUACUCUGAAUAGAGAGUUAAAUAGUACGUGAAACCGCUUAGGGGUUAAGCCCGAUGAACCCGAAUAUCUGAUGUGAGAAAUUCAAUACAAUUCAAAUUCAUAUUUUUAUAUUGGAUUUGUAUAUUGUAUGCACUUUUCUCAUAGUAAGACAUUGUAAUCCAUUGAUAUUAUAUCUCUAUCUCUGAGAUGAUUUAACAUACGGACAAAAUGUUUAUGAUUAUUCUAUCAGUGAUAUGUUUACAUGUCAUAUGAAUAAAAUCGUUUUGUUUCCUGUUUAAAUAGUCGAUGGAUUUUUCAUUGAAAUCAUGCUUGCAAUUUAUUUUGCGUUUCGUAUCAUUAAUUUUUAAUUUUUGAUAGCAGAAAUGGCAUGUAUUUGAUUAACAAUGCGAUAGAUUUGGGAUACUUUCAGGACCCGUCUUG